CGAAUUGUUUGGAAAAUUACUUCGGAUGGUGACUUUACCACCAAAUCAGCAUGGCAACUAGUCCGUUCGGUUCGCCAGCCUCAGGACUCAUAUCGAUUGCUAUGGAGCUCUAUCUUGCCUGCCACUAUUUCAUUCUUCUGCUGGAGACUGUGGCAGGAUCUCAUUCCAGUAGAUGUUGUUAUUCAGAGGAGAAUUGGAUGUCAGUUGGCUUCUCGUUGUCAGUGUUGUUCCGAAAUUGAGACCAUCAAUCAUAUUUUCACGAGCAACAGCAUCUCCGACCAGGUAUGGCAGUACUUUGGAGACAUCUUUUAGAUACCUAUGACUUCAGGGGAGGGGGUCAGACAGAGGUUCCAGAGAUGGCGGUAUUCUGGACAGCACGUUUACCGUGGACACAUUCGUAUUAUCAUUCCUCUACUGAUAUUUUGGUUUCUAUGGACUGAGAGGAAUGAUGCGAAGCAUAGAGGUAUUCGUAUGGUGGCCAGACAUAUUAUUUGGAGGGUCUACCGCAUGAUCUCCUUUCUUCAUAUGGGAGGACUAUUCCGAGUUGAGCAUUGGCGAGGAGAUGUGACACUUGCACCUUUUUUUGGCAUUUCUUUGACCCGUCCUCUCCCACCACUACCUAUUAUGGUUGUUUGGCGCACUCCACCAGUUGGAUCCUACAAGAUCAACACUGAUGGAUGCGUCAAAGAUGGAUUUGCAAGUGAUGGAGGCAUCAUUAGGUACCACACAGGAUACUGUAUCAGGGUAUUCUCAGCAUCGUAUGGCCCAUGUUUCAUUUUGGAGGCUGAACUCAGAGCCAUACUAGAUGGGCUUCUAUUGGCCAGAGGACUUGGGAUUUUAGCUAUCUGGCUCGAGGCAGAUUCAACAUUGGCUAUUCACUGCAUUACCAAAGGUGGAGGACCAUGGUCGAUUCAGGGUAUUCUUAGACAGAUCAGAGACCUCAUCUACUUCGAUAGAGACACGGUUUCACACAUCUACAGAGAAGGCAACCAGGUUGCUGAUUCUCUUGCUACAGAAGGCUGGAAUCAUCGGCGCUAUCUAGAGUAUGGACCACUAGAACUGACUCGACAUAUUAGGGCGAUAGUGCGGAUCGACAGACAUGGAUUGCCCAGUUUCAGAAGUUCGUAAUUUAGGCUAUUCUUUAUUGUAUAGGGAAGUAGUACUUCCUCAUUUAUUGCUUUCAUUUAUUAUAUUCAUUUGUUGCAUCACUGCUUUUUGGAGGUCAGGUUCAUGCCCCCCUCUUUCCGUGUAUUCUUGAUUUUUAUGAAAUAAAUAUGGUUGGGGAACCCUUAACCCCCAUCGACCUUCCUUGGUG
Molecule: long non-coding RNA, 1315 nt
Filed under: Olea europaea subsp. europaea
Lineage: Eukaryota; Viridiplantae; Streptophyta; Magnoliopsida; Lamiales; Oleaceae
Source: RNAcentral